CCCUUAGAUGUUCUGGGCCGCACGCGCGCUACACUGAUGCAUUCAACGAGCCUAUCCUUGACCGACAGGUCCGGGUAAUCUUUGAAUCUGCAUCGUGACGGGGAUAGAUUAUUGCAAUUAUUAAUCUUCAACGAGGAAUGCCUAGUAGGCGCAAGUCAUCAGCUUGCGUCGAUUACGUCCCUGCCCUUUGUACACACCGCCCGUCGCACCUACCGAUUGAAUGGUCCGGUGAAGCCUCGGGAUUGUGGCGAGUUCCCUUUAUUGGGAGUUUGUCGCGAGAACUUGUCUAAACCUUAUCAUUUAGAGGAAGGUGAAGUCGUAACA
This 324-nucleotide ribosomal RNA is filed under the name uncultured eukaryote. RNAcentral describes it as "partial 18S ribosomal RNA". It matches the Rfam family "Eukaryotic small subunit ribosomal RNA", at positions 1470 to 1796 of the family's 1831-position model. The record is from RNAcentral.